UGGAAGGCUUGAGUACAGAAGAGGAAAGCGGAAUUCCACGUGUAGCGGUGAAAUGCGUAGAGAUGUGGAGGAACACCAGUGGCGAAGGCGGCUUUCUGGUCUGUAACUGACGCUGAGGCGCGAAAGCAUGGGGAGCAAACAGGAUUAGAUACCCUGGUAGUCCAUGCCGUAAACGAUGAGUGCUAAGUGUUAGGGGGUUUCCGCCCCUUAGUGCUGGAGCAAACGCAUUAAGCACUCCGCCUGGGGAGUACGGCCGCAAGGCUGAAACUCAAAGGAAUUGACGGGGACCCGCACAAGCGGUGGAGCAUGUGGUUUAAUUCGAAGCUACGCGAAGAACCUUACCAGGUCUUGACAUCCCGCUGACCGGUAUAGAGAUAUACCUUUCCCUUCGGGGACAGCGGUGACAGGUGGUGCAUGGUUGUCGUCAGCUCGUGUCGUGAGAUGUUGGGUUAAGUCCCGUAACGAGCGCAACCCUUGACCUUAGUUGCCAGCAUUCAGUUGGGCACUCUAAGGUGACUGCCGGUGACAAACCGGAGGAAGGUGGGGAUGACGUCAAAUCAUCAUGCCCCUUAUGACCUGGGCUACACACGUGCUACAAUGGACGGUACAGAGGGUUGCCAACCCGCGAGGGGGAGCUAAUCCCAUAAAACCGUUCCCAGUUCGGAUUGCAGGCUGCAACUCGCCUGCAUGAAGCAGGAAUCGCUAGUAAUCGUGGAUCAGCAUGCCACGGUGAAUACGUUCCCGGGUCUUGUACACACCGCCCGUCACACCACGAGAGUUUGUAACACCCGAAGUCGGUGGGGUAACCCUUUUGGGAGCCAGCCGCCGAAGGUGGGACAGAUGAUUGGGGUGAAGUCGUAACAAGGUAGCCGUAUCGGAAGGUGCGGUUGGAUCACCUCCUUAUCUUGCUG
RNAcentral lists this ribosomal RNA (911 nucleotides) under uncultured Sporosarcina sp. Its description in RNAcentral is "bacterial SSU rRNA". It matches the Rfam family "Bacterial small subunit ribosomal RNA", at positions 634 to 1533 of the family's 1533-position model. The record is from RNAcentral. Lineage: Bacteria; Bacillati; Bacillota; Bacilli; Caryophanales; Caryophanaceae.